RNAcentral lists this ribosomal RNA (783 nucleotides) under uncultured bacterium. RNAcentral's name for it is "bacterial SSU rRNA". It matches the Rfam family "Bacterial small subunit ribosomal RNA", at positions 28 to 809 of the family's 1533-position model. The record is from RNAcentral.
GAUGAACGCUGGCGGCGUGCUUAACACAUGCAAGUCGAACGAAACACCUUAUUUGAUUUUCUUCGGAACUGAAGAUUUGGUGAUUGAGUGGCGGACGGGUGAGUAACGCGUGGGUAACCUGCCCUGUACAGGGGGAUAACAGUCAGAAAUGACUGCUAAUACCGCAUAAGACCACAGCACCGCAUGGUGCAGGGGUAAAAACUCCGGUGGUACAGGAUGGACCCGCGUCUGAUUAGCUGGUUGGUGAGGUAACGGCUCACCAAGGCGACGAUCAGUAGCCGGCUUGAGAGAGUGAACGGCCACAUUGGGACUGAGACACGGCCCAAACUCCUACGGGAGGCAGCAGUGGGGAAUAUUGCACAAUGGGGGAAACCCUGAUGCAGCGACGCCGCGUGAGUGAAGAAGUAUCUCGGUAUGUAAAGCUCUAUCAGCAGGGAAGAAAAUGACGGUACCUGACUAAGAAGCCCCGGCUAACUACGUGCCAGCAGCCGCGGUAAUACGUAGGGGGCAAGCGUUAUCCGGAAUUACUGGGUGUAAAGGGUGCGUAGGUGGUAUGGCAAGUCAGAAGUGAAAACCCAGGGCUUAACUCUGGGACUGCUUUUGAAACUGUCAGACUGGAGUGCAGGAGAGGUAAGCGGAAUUCCUAGUGUAGCGGUGAAAUGCGUAGAUAUUAGGAGGAACAUCAGUGGCGAAGGCGGCUUACUGGACUGAAACUGACACUGAGGCACGAAAGCGUGGGGAGCAAACAGGAUUAGAUACCCUGGUAGUCCACGCCGUAAACGA